UACGGAGGGUGCAAGCGUUAAUCGGAAUUACUGGGCGUAAAGCGCACGUAGGUGGUUUGUUAAGCCAGCUGUGAAAGCCCUGGGCUCAACCUGGGAAUGGCAGUGGAUACUGGAAGGCUGGAGUACGGUAGAGGAGGGUGGAAUUCCCGGUGUAGCGGUGAAAUGCGUAGAGAUCGGGAGGAACAUCAGUGGCGAAGGCGGCCCUCUGGACCAGUACUGACGCUGAGGCACGAAAGCGUGGGGAGCAAACAGG
RNAcentral lists this ribosomal RNA (253 nucleotides) under uncultured bacterium. RNAcentral's name for it is "partial 16S ribosomal RNA". It matches the Rfam family "Bacterial small subunit ribosomal RNA", at positions 524 to 776 of the family's 1533-position model. The record is from RNAcentral.